This 24-nucleotide small nuclear RNA is filed under the name Arabidopsis thaliana (thale cress). RNAcentral describes it as "snRNA_04403". The record is from RNAcentral. Lineage: Eukaryota; Viridiplantae; Streptophyta; Magnoliopsida; Brassicales; Brassicaceae.
ACAUUUUUGCAGUCACUUUGUAAA